This 432-nucleotide ribosomal RNA is filed under the name uncultured bacterium. RNAcentral describes it as "partial 16S ribosomal RNA". It matches the Rfam family "Bacterial small subunit ribosomal RNA", at positions 29 to 507 of the family's 1533-position model. The record is from RNAcentral.
AACGAACGCUGGCGGCAUGCCUAACACAUGCAAGUCGAACGAGACCUUCGGGUCUAGUGGCGCACGGGUGCGUAACGCGUGGGAACCUGCCCUUAGGUUCGGAAUAACUCCCCGAAAGGGGUGCUAAUACCGGAUAAUGUCUUCGGACCAAAGAUUUGUCGCCUUUGGAUGGGCCCGCGUUGGAUUAGCUAGUUGGUAGGUAAAAGCCUACCAAGGCGACGAUCCAUAGCUGGUCUGAGAGGAUGACCAGCCACACUGGGACUGAGACACGGCCCAGACUCCUACGGGAGGCAGCAGUGGGGAAUAUUGGACAAUGGGCGAAAGCCUGAUCCAGCAAUGCCGCGUGAGUGAUGAAGGCCUUAGGGUUGUAAAGCUCUUUUACCCGGGAUGAUAAUGACAGUACCGGGAGAAUAAGCUCCGGCUAACUCCGUG